AUUGAACGCUGGCGGCAGGCCUAACACAUGCCAGUCGAACGGUAACAGGAAGAAGCUUGCUUCUUUGCUGACGAGUGGCGGACGGGUGAGUAAUGUCUGGGAAACUGCCUGGUGGAGGGGGAUAACUACUGGAAACGGUAGCUAAUACCGCAUAACGUCGCAAGACCAAAGAGGGGGACCUUCGGGCCUCUUGCCAUCGGAUGUGCCCAGAUGGGAUUAGCUAGUAGGUGGGGUAACGGCUCACCUAGGCGACGAUCCCUAGCUGGUCUGAGAGGAUGACCAGCCACACUGGAACUGAGACACGGUCCAGACUCCUACGGGAGGCAGCAGUGGGGAAUAUUGCACAAUGGGCGCAAGCCUGAUGCAGCCAUGCCGCGUGUAUGAAGAAGGCCUUCGGGUUGUAAAGUACUUUCAGCGGGGAGGAAGGGAGUAAAGUUAAUACCUUUGCUCAUUGACGUUACCCGCAGAAGAAGCACCGGCUAACUCCGUG
Molecule: ribosomal RNA, 490 nt
Filed under: uncultured bacterium
Lineage: Bacteria
Description: partial 16S ribosomal RNA
Rfam family: Bacterial small subunit ribosomal RNA
Source: RNAcentral